UACGGAGGGUGCAAACGUUGCUCGGAAUCAUUGGGCGUAAAGCGCACGUAGGCGGUCUGCUAUGUCGGGUGUGAAAUCCUACGGCUCAACCGUGGAACUGCAUCCGAUACUGGGGAACUUGAGGACGGUAGAGGUCGGUGGAAUUCCAGGUGUACCGGUGAAAUGGGCAGAUAUCGGGAGGAACACCAAUUGCGAAGGCAGCUUGCUGGGACGAUACUGACGCUGAGGCGCGAAAGCGUGGGGAGCAAACAGG
This 253-nucleotide ribosomal RNA is filed under the name uncultured bacterium. RNAcentral's name for it is "partial 16S ribosomal RNA". It matches the Rfam family "Bacterial small subunit ribosomal RNA", at positions 524 to 776 of the family's 1533-position model. The record is from RNAcentral.